This 492-nucleotide ribosomal RNA is filed under the name uncultured bacterium. RNAcentral's name for it is "partial 16S ribosomal RNA". It matches the Rfam family "Bacterial small subunit ribosomal RNA", at positions 29 to 507 of the family's 1533-position model. The record is from RNAcentral.
AUUGAACGCUGGCGGCAUGCUUUACACAUGCAAGUCGAACGGUAACAGGCCUUCGGGUGCUGACGAGUGGCGAACGGGUGAGUAAUGCAUCGGAACGUACCCAGAGGUGGGGGAUAACGCAGCGAAAGCUGUGCUAAUACCGCAUGUGAUCUGAGGAUGAAAGCGGGGGACCGAGCAGCAAUGUUUGGCCUCGCGCCUUUGGAGCGGCCGAUGUCGGUUUAGAUGGUUGGUGGGGUAGAGGCCUGCCAAGGCGACGAUCCGUAGCUGGUCUGAGAGGACGACCAGCGACAUGAGGACGGAAACACGGCCCAGACUACUGCGAUAGGCAGCAGUGGGGAAUUUUGGACAAUGGGCGCAAGCCUGAUACAGCAAUGCCGCGUGCGGGAAGAAGGCCUUCGGGUUGUAAACAGCUUUUGGCAGGAACGAAACGGUGUCCGCUAAUACCGGGCGCUAAUGACGGUACCUGCAGAAUAAGCACCGGCUAACUACGUG